UAAGACACUUAAUUAUUUCUAUAACUAUGCUAUAUUGUUUGUCCUCGUGUGUCCGUUCAUGUUUUUCAGCAUAAAGUACUCUGCAGCCACUUAGUGUGGUGUGGACACCAGGUUAUAUCAGCUGUGUUGGUGAACCCCUCCUGCAUCUGAACUGGCUACAUAGAGGGCACAGCAUGAUCAGAGAUAAGUUUUGAUGUGAGAGGAUGCCAAACCCCAGUCCCAUCAUCGCCACCACACCCGCUUUUAAGAUAACCUUUGUACCGACUAGAGGCACUGUUGUGAUGAACUGAGAGAAUAUUUAGGUAGCACUGUGAUUCAUUAAUCAUGUGCUGCCUUCCCUGCUCUUAUGUGCUUACCUCUUUCCCUUUGUCUUUUACACCUCUCUCGCCACCUCCUUUUUCUUCCUCUGUUUUGAAAAUGCACAACAGAUGUGCAUUGAAGUACAGAUUGAACUUGUAUUUAUAACACUUGGAUAAUGAGCUUUUCAAUAAAGCGUUUCACAUUC
Oncorhynchus keta (chum salmon) is the source of this 505-nucleotide long non-coding RNA. RefSeq lists it as uncharacterized. NCBI's taxonomy places the organism in Eukaryota, Metazoa, Chordata, Actinopteri, Salmoniformes, Salmonidae. The record is from RefSeq and is a predicted model, not a curated record. The transcript is spliced from 3 exons.